CCUACGGGGGGGCAGCAGUGGGGAAUUUUGGACAAUGGGCGCAAGCCUGAUCCAGCAAUGCCGCGUGAGCGAAGAAGGCCUUCGGGUUGUAAAGCUCUUUUGUCAGGGAAGAAACGGCCGAGGCUAAUACCUUUGGCUAAUGACGGUACCUGAAGAAUAAGCACCGGCUAACUACGUGCCAGCAGCCGCGGUAAUACGUAGGGUGCAAGCGUUAAUCGGAAUUACUGGGCGUAAAGCGUGCGCAGGCGGUUUUGUAAGUCUGACGUGAAAUCCCCGGGCUCAACCUGGGAAUUGCGUUGGAGACUGCAAGGCUGGAGUCUGGCAGAGGGGGGUAGAAUUCCACGUGUAGCAGUGAAAUGCGUAGAGAUGUGGAGGAACACCGAUGGCGAAGGCAGCCCCCUGGGUCAAGACUGACGCUCAUGCACGAAAGCGUGGGGAGCAAACAGGAUUAGAUACCCUGGUAGUCCACGCCCUAAACGAUGUCUACUAGUUGUCGGGUCUUAAUUGACUUGGUAACGCAGCUAACGCGUGAAGUAGACCGCCUGGGGAGUACGGUCGCAAGAUUAAAACUCAAAGGAAUUGACGG
RNAcentral lists this ribosomal RNA (586 nucleotides) under uncultured bacterium. RNAcentral describes it as "bacterial SSU rRNA". It matches the Rfam family "Bacterial small subunit ribosomal RNA", at positions 338 to 916 of the family's 1533-position model. The record is from RNAcentral.